Molecule: ribosomal RNA, 253 nt
Filed under: uncultured bacterium
Lineage: Bacteria
Description: partial 16S ribosomal RNA
Rfam family: Bacterial small subunit ribosomal RNA
Source: RNAcentral
UACGUAGGGAGCGAGCGUUAUCCGGAUUUAUUGGGUGUAAAGGGUGCGUAGAUGGAUAUGCAAGUUGGUUGUGAAAUACCUCGGCUUAACUGAGGAACUGCAACCAAAACUGCAAAUCUUGAGUACUGGAGGGGAAAGCGGAAUUCCUAGUGUAGCGGUGAAAUGCGUAGAUAUUAGGAAGAACACCGGUGGCGAAGGCGGCUUUCUGGACAGAAACUGACAUUGAGGCACGAAAGUGUGGGGAGCAAACAGG